GGUCGCCGCGGCGAGGAUCGUGCCUCCGACGCUGAUGCCGGCGGCCGGCUCGCCCGCGGUCCCGCCCGCGGCGGGGAUCA
This 80-nucleotide transfer RNA is filed under the name Mycobacterium tuberculosis. RNAcentral's name for it is "tRNA-Ile(gat)". The record is from RNAcentral. Lineage: Bacteria; Bacillati; Actinomycetota; Actinomycetes; Mycobacteriales; Mycobacteriaceae.